This 665-nucleotide small RNA is filed under the name Histoplasma capsulatum var. duboisii H88. Its description in RNAcentral is "Histoplasma capsulatum H88 hypothetical RNA". The record is from RNAcentral. Lineage: Eukaryota; Fungi; Ascomycota; Eurotiomycetes; Onygenales; Ajellomycetaceae.
CCAUUGACCGGGCUUCAGCUAAGCUCUGGCCGUUUGAAGCUGACACUAUCGCGCCGAUCGAUGUCUCAGCCGGGGGAAGAUAAAGCGACGAGCAUCUUGGGACGUUUUCAACAUCUGAGGAGAAUAAUAUGAACAAGAAUUGAAUCCACAAUGCUUCUAUUGUGUUCUCAAUGAAUAUCCAGAGGAUGUUAUGCAGAGAUUAUCUGCCAGGCCCAAGAUUCAGAAAAGUUUAAAAUGAAGAGAACAAUGGACUCUGGGCGGGAAAAAUGUGACAAAGCCAACAUCAUUUUGCAGAUAGACUAGACACUCCCUUUGUGUUCUCCAGGCUUCUGUGCAUUGGUUUGCAUGCCAGUAUAUGCAUGCAUUUCCCCGGGGAUUCCCAGAGAGGAUUGCAAUAAUGGCCUGCAUCAGGGGAGAGGAAGAAAGAGCGAGAGAAACAAACCACGAGAUGAUCUCAUGGGGGUGAAGGAGGGUUGAAAAUGUUGCUUAGUUCAACGUAAAGAAUCCUCUUCUAUGCUUCCAAAUAAGUAUUCUCGUUGAAUCGAAGAUUUACGAUGCAGGCUGAGCGAAAAGUAGAGGGGAUUUGAUGAUCUAUCACAUGUACAGCAGCUUGAUCAAUGGAGUGGAGAUAACACUCUAACCCUGUUAAUGCACUGGAGUGGACA